This 253-nucleotide ribosomal RNA is filed under the name uncultured bacterium. Its description in RNAcentral is "partial 16S ribosomal RNA". It matches the Rfam family "Bacterial small subunit ribosomal RNA", at positions 524 to 776 of the family's 1533-position model. The record is from RNAcentral.
UACGUAGGGAGCAAGCGUUGUCCGGAAUCAUUGGGCGUAAAGCGCGCGUAGGCGGCCCUGUAAGUCCGUUGUGAAAGUCAAAGGCUCAACCUUUGAAAGCCGAUGGAUACUGCAGGGCUAGAGUCCGGGAGAGGUGAGUGGAACUGCGAGUGUAGAGGUGAAAUUCGUAGAUAUUCGCAAGAACACCAGUGGCGAAGGCGGCUCACUGGCCCGGUACUGACGCUGAGGUGCGAAAGCGUGGGGAGCAAACAGG